AAGUACAAAAUUCCAGAUUUGUAGUGAAUUUUCUGUUGCUUAGCUGCCAUGUCACAACUCUCAAAGCUGGAAGAGCAGUUACUUUCCUGAAGCACGAGUAGCAUAGAACUGUUGAAGUUUUCUAAACAAUGUGAAAAAAAAAAGGAGGUGACCAAUCCAUCGCGCAUAUUCCAGCUGAAGAAACAUGAGAUGCAACGAGACAACACAUGAUCCACUAAAUUCUGGUUUCCGGCAGAUAUAGUCCUUACAGGAAUUGCAGCAUCUAGCUCAUGAAGAAACAAAAGCAGAUUAUACCAAAUCAUACUUUGCAAGAAAAUAAUCUGGGGUAAAAGAAAAUCAGAUUCUUCUUUAUACAUAGCCUUCAUGAGUGGAAUUCCAAGGAUCAAAGUAUUAGGAAGUGUUGAUAACGAAAGACCAGUUAUAAUCCAUUUCAAACCACCUCUAAUAUCACCAAUCUUAAUGAUUAUAAUUAAAACUAAAAAUGCAAGAAAUUUCUGAACGAAAUCCGCAUAUAUGAGUUUAAGACUCAUUUUGUAAA
This is a long non-coding RNA of Vicia villosa (hairy vetch), 538 nucleotides long. RefSeq lists it as uncharacterized. The transcript has 2 exons. The record is from RefSeq and is a predicted model, not a curated record. NCBI's taxonomy places the organism in Eukaryota, Viridiplantae, Streptophyta, Magnoliopsida, Fabales, Fabaceae.